RNAcentral lists this long non-coding RNA (306 nucleotides) under Brassica napus (rape). RNAcentral describes it as "long non-coding RNA (BNAP_LNC011514)". Lineage: Eukaryota; Viridiplantae; Streptophyta; Magnoliopsida; Brassicales; Brassicaceae. The record is from RNAcentral.
UUUUCUUCCGGUUCUGAAGCCAAAGACUUGAGGGUGGUAUAUUAGGAUGGUUUAGUUAAAUUGGUUAGCUAAAUUAAGUUUGGUUUAUACUGGUUAAGUUUCCUUUUAUUUAACCGGUAAUAGAUAUAACGAACACUUUGUACAGUUAGGUGAUUGAGCUGAAUAACAAAUUUUUCAUCAUCUUCUUCGUUCCAUCUCUCUCUCGACAUAUAUCAAUUUUACUAUCACAAGCAAGAAGAUAAGCAUCCUGCUGUGGCAUUAUUCUCAUACUUUUAUAUUUCAAUAAAUAAGUUAAAUUAUCUCACA